Long non-coding RNA from Triticum dicoccoides, 863 nucleotides. RefSeq lists it as uncharacterized. Lineage: Eukaryota; Viridiplantae; Streptophyta; Magnoliopsida; Poales; Poaceae. The record is from RefSeq and is a predicted model, not a curated record. The transcript is spliced from 2 exons.
AGGUCCCCGCCCCCACAAAUUGCCAGAAGGAGUAUCUUGUGCCCAGUGCGUACCAGGUGAGUAUGAUGACCCAUACAACGGUCCAGCAGUCCAACAACGUUACGCUGGUGAUGGACGAGUACUGAUAGUUCCCCUGGACAUCGACGAAGGCCAGCGCCAAGUACCAGUACCAAGGUAUCUGCAAGACAGGAGUGGCGUAGAGAGUGAGGAGGCGUGUGAAACUAAAACCACACAAGGUAAGUUUCAUGCUCACCCGUGGCUUCUGCCGUCGGUGCAAGAGGAUCGGCACAUAAAUCAGAGUCAACAGGAGGUAGGCGAAGAAGGAUUGUGUGAGAGGUGUGUUAACUCCUGCAUAAUAUACAUGCGAUGGGUGAUUCGUAAUUGAGUGUUCUACAAAGAUUCACAGGUACUGGGGGAAAUGAUAAUUUGGAUGGUUAGGCUACAGAGACAGUGAGAAGGGCGGGUACCGAGAUUGGCGAGGAAGGAGGAGGCGAAGCUGGCGGCGGCCAUGGAGAAGGCCACGAGCUGGCCGAGGAAGAGCACCAGCGCCAGGCCCCAUGCGUCCUUGGCCUUGGUCUCCAUGGGUCUCUCCCUGUCUGACCACCAAGCCUCGGUCAGAUUCGCGGAGAUGCAGGGGAGAGAUAAUAUACGGUUCGAGCCGGCCGGAGCAGAGGAGGAGACUGGACGGGUAGCUGGCUCGCUGGGCUCGUGCAGUAAACUAUGGUUAGCUGAGUGUGGCAUGCCCAUUUUUCAAUCAACAAAAAAAGGAAAGCUGAGAGCAGCUUGUGACCGCUACAUUGAUUAUGUUUUCUUCUUCCUGCUGUGCCACGCGCCUGGAUAUGAUAAUUGAUUAUGUGAUCGGA